This 259-nucleotide unclassified non-coding RNA is filed under the name uncultured Nectriopsis. Its description in RNAcentral is "partial contains 5.8S ribosomal RNA, internal transcribed spacer 2, and large subunit ribosomal RNA". The stretch from base 1 to 52 matches the Rfam family "5.8S ribosomal RNA", at positions 103 to 154 of the family's 154-position model. Lineage: Eukaryota; Fungi; Ascomycota; Sordariomycetes; Hypocreales; Bionectriaceae. The record is from RNAcentral.
AACGCACAUUGCGCCCGCCAGUAUUCUGGCGGGCAUGCCUGUCCGAGCGUCAUUACAACCCUCAGGCCCCCGGGCCUGGCGUUGGGGAUCGGCGGAGCCCUCUGGGCACGCGCCGCCCCCUAAAUCUAUUGGCGGUCUCGCUGCAGCCCACUGCGUAGUAGCUAACACCCCGCAACUGGAAAGCGGCGCGGCCAUGCCGUAAAACACCCAACUUUAUGAUGUUGACCUCGGAUCAGGUAGGAAUACCCGCUGAACUUAA